Molecule: RNA transcript, 2351 nt
Organism: Sapajus apella (tufted capuchin)
Lineage: Eukaryota; Metazoa; Chordata; Mammalia; Primates; Cebidae
Gene name: decaprenyl-diphosphate synthase subunit 1-like
Exons: 2
Source: RefSeq, a predicted model, not a curated record
GAACUGCUCCUAUCAACAUCAGAACUUAAGGAAAAGUCUGAGUACUACUUUGAUGGAAGAGGGAAAGCCUUCCGACCAAUUAUUGUGGCACUAAUGGACCAAGCAUUCGAUAUUCAUCAUGACAACUCCCGACAUGUGCAAGCCAGCCAGCCUACAAUAGCCUUAAUCCCAGAAAUGACCCCCAUUGCUAGUCUGGUUCAUGAAUAUGUUAUUGGCAAUGCAAGUUCUCGAAGAGGAAAACACACAGUUAAUAAGAUCUGGGAUGAAAAGAAGGCUGUUCUUGCUGGAGAUUUAAUUCUUUCUGCAGCAUCUAUAGCUCUGGCACGAACUAUUUUAACCCGUGUUAUUGAAGAUUUGGUACAUGGUGAAUUUCUUCAGCUUGGGUCAAAAGAAAAUGAGAAUGAAAGAUUUGCACACUACCUUGAAAAGACCUUUAAGAAGACAAAGCCGGGCGGGAUGGCCAGCUUGAUAGCCAACAGUUGUAAAGCAGUCUCUGUUCUAGGAUGCCCUGGCCCAGUGGUGCAUGAGAUCACCUAUCAGUAUGGAAAAAAUGUAGGAAUAACUUUUCAGCUAAUAGAUGAUGUACUAGACCUCACCUCGUGUUCUGACCAGAUGGGCAAACCAACAUCAGCUGAUCUGAAGCUUGGGUUAGCCACUGGUCCUGUCCUGUUGCCUGUCAGCAGUUCCUAGAAAUGAAUGCUAUGAUCAUGAGACAGUUCAGUUUGCCUGGAGAUGUAGACAGAGCUCGACAGUAUGUAUUACAGAGUGAUGAUGUGCAACAAACAACCUACCUCACCCAGCAGUACUGCCACAAAGUGAUAAGAGAGAUCAGUAAACUUCAACCAUCCCCAGAAAGAGAAACCCUCAUUCAACUUUCAGAAAUUGUGCUCACAAUAGAUAAAUGACUGUUCUUUCUGGCAGCCGUCUUACCAGACAGUGCCUAAAGAAUUUUAUGGAAUACACUUUAUUUGCUUCAUGUGCAGAUAACCAAAAACCAUUUUAAAAGAUAUCAAACUUAUUGAUGGGCAAUGUAUUUUUUUUAAUUGCAAAAGUUUUUUCAGAAAACUUUUUAAAUGUAAUUAAACCAUCUGAAUCUGUCAUUCUAGUCCUAUAAAUUCUAAUUGAGAUAUUUUGAUGGUUAUAUGUGGUAUUGUUUACACUGUUUGUAUCCACAUGUAAGGCUAUUACACAAAUAAAUAAUUGAUGUUAAAAUUCAAAAAAUAUUAAAACAAAAAAUAAAAUUAAAAUUAAAAAAAGGAAUUUCAUCAAUAAGAAAAAUGUAACAAAGAAGAAAAAAAGGUACAAAGAUGUGACAGGCAACUUAUAUAUGAUAACCAAAUGAUUUAAAAAAAUCUGUUCUCAUAAAUCGUUAGAGAAAUGCCAAUUAAAACAACAUUUAUAAUUAAAUAGUUUUUACCUAUAAAAACUAAGUGCCCUUGUGAAGAUUCAAACGGGCGCUCUCUCAUAUACUGUUGGGUUGGCAUGUAAAUCAGAACAGUCUCUUUGAGGGUAAAUUGGUAGUAAAUGUUAACUUUUUAAAUGUUCGAGCUCUUUGAUCCGGCAGUUCUACGGCUAUGAAUUUAUCCUAUAGAAAUACUCAUACAAGUGAACAAAAAGAGUUAAGUUGUACUGAGUGCAGUAUUUAAAAUCAUAAAAUAUUAGAAACAACCCUAUUGUUCAUCAGUUGAAAAGUAGCUACAUAAAUCACAGUGCAUGCAAAAGAUGUGAUGCAUACAGCUGUUGAAAGUGAGGUAGACCUCUAAAUGGCCUAAUGGGGAGAGGUGUUGGUGCUAAAUAAAAGGCAAGCUGGAAAGAGCUAUGUAUAGUAUGAUCCCAUUUUUUAAAAAAAUUAAAAAACAUAGUAAUGAAUAUUAGCAGAAUAGAAAAAAAUUCUGGAACACUGCCAAGUUAAGCGUCUGUCUUUAGGGAAUUGGUUCAAGAGACUUUCUAUACUAUAUGUUUUUGUACAGUUAAGAACUAUUAAAACAAAUGUGAUCUCUUAAAAUCAGGGAGAAAAACCAUACAUUUAUAAUAAUUAAAGGCAUUUUGAUCUAUUAGGUCAUUCUUGUUCACUAGGAUUCUGUAGGGAAGAUAACGUUACUAUUUCUGGCAGUGUGAAGUAUAAUUAUGGGUUGAAAUAAAACUUUUGCUUUGUAAAAUGUGGUAGGACUUAUAGCCAGGAAUUUCAAAACCCUUUACUUACCUUCCCUGACUUGAGAUGUUCACGAAUGAGAUGAUUAGCUUGUUUUACAUUCAAAAUUAUCGUCCUCCUGGUUACAUUUAUUAUUUUUGGUAGUAUGCUUGAUUCUCUCUUAACGAAAGGGGUAUAACAUUUAACAGUAUACAUUUUU